GACGAAGGGGGCUAGCGUUGUUCGGAAUUACUGGGCGUAAAGCGCGUGUAGGCGGUUGUCCAAGUUGGAUGUGAAAGCCUUGAGCUCAACUCAAGAAAUGCAUUCAGGACUGGAUGACUAGAGGACCGGAGAGGAUAGUGGAAUUCCCAGUGUAGUGGUGAAAUACGUAGAGAUUGGGAAGAACACCAGUGGCGAAGGCGGGUCUCUGGACAGUUCCUGACGCUGAGGCACGAAGGCCAGGGGAGCAAACGGG
RNAcentral lists this ribosomal RNA (253 nucleotides) under uncultured bacterium. RNAcentral's name for it is "partial 16S ribosomal RNA". It matches the Rfam family "Bacterial small subunit ribosomal RNA", at positions 524 to 776 of the family's 1533-position model. The record is from RNAcentral.